This 3922-nucleotide long non-coding RNA is filed under the name Sus scrofa (pig). RNAcentral describes it as "lncRNA (ENSSSCG00025022204.1)". The record is from RNAcentral. Lineage: Eukaryota; Metazoa; Chordata; Mammalia; Artiodactyla; Suidae.
AGGAAGACACUGUAGAUGACCAGGGUUAGUCAUCUUAAGAAAAUGUUGUAUAAAGUAGGGGACAAGCUGGAAGGUCAAGGAGAAACUCGGUCCCAAAAGGACAAACUGGAUGUCAUGAAGACAAACUGGAACCUGCAUCUGUGAUUCCCUGCAUGCAAUCCCAGUGAAGUGGACAAUGCAUGGGAGGGGCUGGAGCUUUCACCAUGAGGCUAUAGGCCCAUCUGGACCAAAUCUUGGAGAAGCUGAAGAAGGAGACGGGUGAAAUCUGCAGCCUAGGCAUCAAAUUGGAACUGCAGCUGCCGACUGACACCACAGCCACAACAGUGCAGGAUCUGAGUUGCAUUUGCGAUCUAUACUACAGCUCAUAGCAAUGCUGGAUCCUUAACUCACUGAGCAAGGCCAGGGAUUGAACCCAUAUCCUCAUAGAUACAGGUAUUGAAAAGAUACACCAAAAUGUUGAUCUUAUCCAAGUGCAAAAUGCAGAAUCAGAAUUGGUGUUCUCUGGAAAAAGACAAAAGUCAAGCCUUGGUAUAAAUUUGGAAAAACACAUUCUUUUUUCUUAAUGGAAGCUAUGGCAGAACCCCGGAAUCAUACACUCAAGGCUGUGGAGAGCACCUUGUGGAUUCCCGUGAGGUUGACUUUCCUUUGGGUGCAGCCAUCAGGCGGUGCAGGCAGGAGACCCGAGGAGGAUGGAAGGACACGAAGGUCUCCCUGUGCCUCUCGCUACUCUGCCAGGCUCGCCAUUGGCGGCGAUGAUUCCUCCGCUGAGGCUCGUGAUGCUUCUCAGGAAGCCCGCUGAAACAGACGGUCUUAGAAACUGCAUCCUGUACCGUCCCCUUCAAGUCAAGUGAUUACCGUCUCCUCUUUUCCAACAGUAGGUUUUGCCUCAUAGUAUCCAAAGUCCUGAUAGAGAAUAGCUACAUUUAGGGGGAUCUUACCUGAUGCCGGGGCACUCCCCUAAGGGAUUUUUUUUUUUUUCUUUCAACACUCACUGAAUUCCUACCAUAACCCUGCUUGUGGUAAACUAAGGCUUCAUGAAGUUCAUUGUCCCACAUUGUGAAUGGAACUGGCUUCUGGUAAGAGCACAGACUCUAGAAUCUGACUGCCUGGCUCUAAACGCUGCCCCUUCCACCUGUGAGCUCAUGGUCCUGAGCACAUUUCUAUUGGUCAGUCUCCUCACCUAUAAAAGGGAUAAAAAUAGUACUUCAGAAGGUAGUUGUGAAGAUGAAAUGUGCUAAUAUAUGUAACACACUUGGAGAAUAUGGCUUAUAGGAGAUGCCUGUGUGUGUUUGCUAUCAAUAUAAAUCCAAAGCCCAUCCAUUUACUGCAUUAUACUCACCUCCUAUCAGAAAGCAUACACAUUUUCUUUAGAGUGGAAGAUCCCUGCCCAUCACUUUUAAAUAACCUGUAUGGUGUUCUCUAUUUUAUGCAGUGGAUUGGCUCUCAUUUAAACACAAUGCUUUUAUGUUUAAAAAGCAAAACAGGAUACUCUGUUAUUUUUUCAUUGCCAGAAAGGCAAGUAUAGAUAGUAUCACAGAAAAAGUUGUAGAAGCUCCCCUGUUGGUGUACUGAACGAAUUAUAGGAACACAGAUAAUCUUAAAGACUGGAAGGCCUCUGACCAUCUCAUUUACAUACAGAGAAACUUGGAAAUUUGGCUACAGUCUCACUGUUGUUCUAUUAUAAGAAAAAAAGGGGUUCUUUGUGGACAUUAGCGUGUUUAGGAUAUAGGUAAAAAUCUGCCUUGGAUGACAAGGAGAGUGAAGCUCAAAUUUGAAGAAACAGCCAUAGACUCUGUGUUCUUUAAAGGCAAAGGAAGCCAGCAAGCUGAAGAAAGCAUGUGAAGAACUGGGUCAAGCAGUUUCAGAUACAGAGAACCAUGGAGAAAUGUUCUGCCCACCACCUUCAGCUCUCCUUAUCUCUACUGUCACACCAAAACAACCCUGUGAUUAUGUAACAGACAAUUACUGAUACAGGAACCUAAAUUCCAUAUCUUGCCCUCUUAAUACAAGAUAGCAAAACAUAACUAUCUAAACCAAUUAAGAAAGAGUCUUGGAGUUCCCAUAGUGGCUCAGUGGUUAACGAACACGAUGAGUAUCCAGGAGGAUGCAGGUUUGAUCUCUGGGUUUGCUCAGUGGGUUAAGGAUCCAGCAUUGCCAUGAACUGUGGCGUAGGUCGCAGACUCAGCUCAGAUCCAGCAUUGCUGUAGCUGUGAUAUAGGCCAGCAGCUACAGCUCUGAUUUGAUCCCUAGCGUGGGAACCUCCAUAUGCCGCAGGUAUGGCCCUAAAAAGACAAAAAAGAAAAAAGAAAAGAGUCUUAAAAUUCAUCGUUAUUGUCUUAAAACUAUGGUUAACUAGAUAAACUCCCACAUUGUUCUUUAUUGUGUAUUAUGUAAACUGGUCUUCAGAACCAUUUCUGAACAAGUAGUUAAAUGAAGAAAAUCUGCUAGUGUUUUACUACUUUAUGUCUCUUAAAAUGCAAGUGUUCUUAGCAAAUAGAUAGCCGUCAUAGUGAUUAUCGAUCAUUUUUACCUUUAUUCCCACUUUGCUUAUUUAAACAUUCAUCCAGGCAAUUAUUCACUUGACACUCAGUGUGUCUGGCGCUUGCUAAGCAUCAAGUAUGCAAAGGCAGUUACGUAAGACUUGGUAGCUGUCUGCAAAAUGCCUACCAGCUGCAGACCUAGAGAUUAUUAUACUAAGUGAAGUAAGUUACUCAUAUGCAAAAUCUAAAAUAUGACAUAGAUGAACUUAUUUACAAAACAGAAACAGACUCACAGACAUAGAAAACAAACUUAAUGGUUAACAAAGAGGGAAGAGGGGGAGGGAUAAAUUAAGAGAUGGAGAUUCACAUAUAUACUCCUAUAUAUAAAAUAGAUAAUCAGCAAGAACCUACUGUAUAGCACAGGGAACUAUAGUCAAUAUCCUAUAAUAAACCAUCAUGGAAAAGAAAAAGAUAGUCACAGGCUAAAAAGGGGAACAAUUCCAAAACAAUAAGCAUGCUAAUAACUUAGGUGUGCCAGGACUGAAACGUCAUGGUCGGAAUGAGCAGGGCCAUAGAUAUAGAAACAUACAACUUCCCCUCAUGGUAAAGGCAAAGGCCUGGAGAGUUGACAAGUCACAGAGUAAACCUCAGGUAGGGAAGGCUGAAUGGGAGCAGAGUUCGACCGCAUGAAUUUGGAGUGCCAGCAUGACAUCUUGAUGGCAAUGUCAGGUCAGCUGCUGGACACAAGGGUUUAGAAUUCAGAAGGGAAUUCCAGCCUGGAUACUGGGGAGUUAAAAGCACCCAGGGAGGUCCUCAAACCAGGGGUGUGGAGAGAUUCUUCAGGGAGAGCUCUUCCUCAAGAGAACAUGGGGAGACAUCACCCAUGAGAGCCAAGACCAUAAAAAAUGUGUCUGUGUUGCCAGAACACCAUUAAAAUCCUUUCCUAAGAGCUAAUUUUGAAAGAGAAUAUGCAAUGGAAUACUACUCAGGCAUAAAAAAGAACAAAGCAAGGCCAUUUGCAGCAAAAAUGGAUGGCACUAAAGACUCUCAUACAAAGUGCAGUAAGUCAGAAAGAGAAAGAAAAAUACUGUAUGAUAUCACUUAUAGCUGGAAUCUAGUAUAUGGCCCAAAUAAAACUUUCCACAGAAAAGAAACUCAUGGACUUGGAGAACAGACUUGCGGUUGCCAAGGGGGAGGGGGAUGGACUGGGAAUCUGGGGUUAAUAGAUGCAAACUACUGCAUUUGGAAUGGAUAAGCAAUGAAAUCCUGCUGUAUAGCGCUGGGAACUGUAUCUAGUCACUUGUGAUGGAACAUGAUGGAGGAUAAUGUGAGAAAAAGACUGUAUACGUGUACGUGUGACAGGGUCACUUUUCUGUAGUAGAAAAUUGAGAGAACACUGUAUUCCAACUAUAAUGAAAAAAAUAAAAAUCAUUUUUUAAAAA